UCAUGGCUCAAAGCGAACGCUGGCGGCAGGCUUAACACAUGCAAGUCAAGCGGGCCCUUCGGGGUCAGCGGCGGACGGGUGAGUAACUCGUGGGAACGUGCCUUCUGGUUCGGAAUAACCCUGGGAAACUAGGGCUAAUACCGGAUACUCCCUUUUGGGGAAAGGUUUACUGCCGGACGAUCGGCCCGCGUCUGAUUAGAUAUUUGGUGGGGUAACGGUCUACCAAGGCGACCAUCAGUAGCUGGUCUGAGAGGAUGAUCACCCACACUGGGACUGAGACACGGCCCAUACUCCUACGGGAGGCAGCAGUGGGGAAUAUUGGACAAUGGGCGCGAGCCUGAUCCAGCCAUGCCUGCGUGAGUGAUGAAGUUCCUUAGGGUUGUAAAGCUCUUUUAUCCGGGACGAUAAUGACGGUACCGGAGGAAUAAGCCCCGGCUAACUUCGUCCCAGCAGCCGCGGUAAUACGAAGGGGGCUAGCGUUGCUCUGAAUCACUGGGCGUAAAGGGCGCGUACGCGGCGUUUUAAAUCUGGGGUGAAAGCCUGUGGCUCAACCACAUAAUGGCCUUCGAUACUGGGACGCUUGGAGUAUAGUAGAGGUUGGUGGAACUGCGUGGGUAUAGGUGAAAUUCGUAGUAUAUUUGGCAAGAACACUCGGUGGUGAAGGCGGCCUACUGGACCAUUACUGAAGUUGAGGCGCGAAAGCGUGGGGAGCAAACAGGCAUUAGAUACGGUGGUAGUCCACGCCGUAAACGAUGAAUUGCCAGCUGUUGGGGUGCUUGCGUCGCAGUAGCGCAGCUAACGCUUUGAGCAUUCCGCGUGGGGAGUACGGUUGCAAGAUUAAAACUCAAAGGAAUAUGACGGGGGCCCGUACAAGUGGUGGAGCAUGUGGUUUAAUUCGAAGCAACGCGCAGAACCUUACCAUCGUUUUACAUGGCGUGUUACCCAGAGAGAUAUGGGGUUUCCUUCGGGGGCGCGCACUCAGGUGCUGCAUGGUUGUCGUCAGGUCGGGUCGUGAGAUGUUUGGUUAAGUCCCGCUACGAGCGCAACCCACGUCUUUAGUUGCCAUCAUUCAGUUGGGCACUCUAGGGAGACUGCCGGUUAUAAGCCGCGAGGAAGGCGUGGAUGACGUCAAGUCUUCAUGGCCUUUACGGGAUGGGCUACACACGUGAUACAAUGGCGGUGACAGUGGGAGGCGAAGGAGCGAUCUGGAGCAAAUCCCCAAAAGCCGUCUCAGUUCGGAUUGCACUCUGCCACUCGAGUGCAUGAAGGCGGAAUCGCUAGUAAUCGUGGAUCAGCAUGCCACGGUGAAUACGUUCCCGGGCUUUGCACACACCGCCCGUCA
This 1342-nucleotide ribosomal RNA is filed under the name uncultured bacterium. RNAcentral's name for it is "16S ribosomal RNA". It matches the Rfam family "Bacterial small subunit ribosomal RNA". The record is from RNAcentral.